ACAAUUUUAGUACAAGUCAUCGAUGUAGUCCUACUACAACAAAAAAGGGAUAUAGCAGCACUUUUAUAUGUCGCUAAAACAUCAAAAAAGUGCUGCUGUAUUUUUUACCGACACUUGCUCAAAAUAUCACUAUAUGUGGGGUCGCAGGACAUAUAGCGACACAAAAAAAAAGUCGGUCUAUAUAAGAAAAAAUGCUGAAGUGAGACGACACUUUUGCUUACUUAUCCCAGCAAAUGAAAAGUGCUGGUAAAAGAUUCUUCCGACACUUUUUAGUGUUGCAAAGAGGGAAAAAAGGAUGCAUUUUAGAAAAUUCCGACCUUUAUUUUAUAUUUAUAGCGACACUUUAUUUUAAUUUAGCAGCACUUUUUUUAUUUUCCAAUAGCAUUUUUUUACUAUUUAUCUACACUUUGUUAACCAAAAAAGUAAUCCUGCAAUUAUUUUUACCAUCACUUUUUUACUAUUUAGCGGCACUUUUUUAAAAUAUAAUUUUUUUAUAUAUAAUAAUUUUAUUAUUUAAUUUUUAUCAUAUACUAUUGUUUAUCAUUCAUUCACUAUAUUAUUCAUUAACGAUUCAUUCAAUAAUAAUCAUUUAUCAUAAUCUUUUUAACACACCAUCAAGAAAAAUAUGCAAAUACAAAACAUAUCAAUUAUAUUAAGAAGCAAAAGUUACUGUCAUACAUCUCAUUAGUUGAUGUUAAUAUUAUAGACAAACAACAUAGUCCAAAAAACCCAAACAAUGUCACGCCUCGAGCCCGAUCCUUUUGGCCGGUUUGAGAGCAUCGAACAGACGCCGAACAGACAUAGCCUCCCCUGUCCGCCCAAGGCUUAACAAGAGGUACAGAUAGAGUAUAAAAUUUGCAUAUUGGAUACCCAAUCAACAUAACGGACCGCCCUAAUAAAUUCGGCCUUCAAAAAAUUUUCAAUUUCAUUUUUAAUUUGGAGUACAAUACU
This 951-nucleotide long non-coding RNA is filed under the name Ananas comosus (pineapple). Its description in RNAcentral is "long non-coding RNA (ACOM_LNC024279)". The record is from RNAcentral. Lineage: Eukaryota; Viridiplantae; Streptophyta; Magnoliopsida; Poales; Bromeliaceae.